RNAcentral lists this ribosomal RNA (950 nucleotides) under bacterium. RNAcentral's name for it is "bacterial SSU rRNA". It matches the Rfam family "Bacterial small subunit ribosomal RNA", at positions 396 to 1352 of the family's 1533-position model. The record is from RNAcentral.
GCCGCGUGAGGGAUGACGGCCUUCGGGUUGUAAACCUCUUUUAGUAAGGAAGAAGAACUUCGGUUUGACGGUACUUGCAGAAAAAGCACCGGCUAACUACGUGCCAGCAGCCGCGGUAAUACGUAGGGUGCAAGCGUUGUCCGGAAUUAUUGGGCGUAAAGAGCUCGUAGGCGGUUUGUCGCGUCUGCUGUGAAAACUGGAGGCUCAACCUCCAGCCUGCAGUGGGUACGGGCAGACUAGAGUGCGGUAGGGGAGAUUGGAAUUCCUGGUGUAGCGGUGGAAUGCGCAGAUAUCAGGAGGAACACCGAUGGCGAAGGCAGAUCUCUGGGCCGUAACUGACGCUGAGGAGCGAAAGCAUGGGGAGCGAACAGGAUUAGAUACCCUGGUAGUCCAUGCCGUAAACGUUGGGAACUAGAUGUAGGGGCCAUUCCACGGUUUCUGUGUCGCAGCUAACGCAUUAAGUUCCCCGCCUGGGGAGUACGGCCGCAAGGCUAAAACUCAAAGGAAUUGACGGGGGCCCGCACAAGCGGCGGAGCAUGCGGAUUAAUUCGAUGCAACGCGAAGAACCUUACCAAGGCUUGACAUAUACCGGAAAGCCACAGAAAUGUGGGCCCCGCAAGGUCGGUAUACAGGUGGUGCAUGGUUGUCGUCAGCUCGUGUCGUGAGAUGUUGGGUUAAGUCCCGCAACGAGCGCAACCCUCGUUCUAUGUUGCCAGCACGUUAUGGUGGGAACUCAUAGGAGACUGCCGGGGUCAACUCGGAGGAAGGUGGGGGAUGACGUCAAAUCAUCAUGCCCCUUAUGUCUUGGGCUUCACGCAUGCUACAAUGGCCGGUACAAAGGGCUGCAAUACCGUAAGGGUGGAGCGAAUCCCAAAAAGCCGGUCUCAGUUCGGGAUUGAGGUCUGCAACUCGACCUCAUGAAGUCGGAGUCGCUAGUAAUCGCAGAUCAG